GUCCACGCCGUAAACGAUGGGUGCUAGCCGUCGGCAAGUUUACUUGUCGGUGGCGCAGCUAACGCAUUAAGCACCCCGCCUGGGGAGUACGAUCGCAAGAUUAAAACUCAAAGGAAUUGACGGGGGCCCCGCACAAGCGGUGGAGCAUGUGGUUUAAUUCGAAGCAACGCGAAGAACCUUACCAGGCCUUGACAUCCCGGUCGCGGGCUCCUGAAAGGGAGCCUUUCAGUUCGGCUUGACCGGUGACAGGUGCUGCAUGGCUGUCGU
Molecule: ribosomal RNA, 267 nt
Filed under: uncultured bacterium
Lineage: Bacteria
Description: partial 16S ribosomal RNA
Rfam family: Bacterial small subunit ribosomal RNA
Source: RNAcentral